Alnus glutinosa is the source of this 904-nucleotide long non-coding RNA. RefSeq lists it as uncharacterized. Lineage: Eukaryota; Viridiplantae; Streptophyta; Magnoliopsida; Fagales; Betulaceae. The record is from RefSeq and is a predicted model, not a curated record. The transcript is spliced from 5 exons.
UCCGCACGCCCAUCUCCUUUUCUUCUUCUUUCUUCUUUUUCUUUUACUCUUCUUCCUUCUCUGUUCUACCCAAACGCAGAGAGAGAGACAAGAGAGUGAGAUCGAGAGAUGGAGAGGGAGAUCAGAGAGAGAGAGUUGAGAUCAAGAGAGAGACCUGAGAGAGGCUGAGAGACCUAGAGGAGACUCGUGACCCGCGAGGCCCGAAUUCUAGCCGAUUCUCCGGUGGGUGACGCCAGUGAACCUGAGAUCGAUUUCCGGUGGUUUGAAGGGGAUUUUCUGUGGUUAGAGGCGAUUUUCCGGCAAUUGGGUGGAGGAUCGUUCCGUUGAUGAUUUUUCGGUGGUUCUCCUCGGUUUCGAAUGAAAAUCCUCAUGUAGGUUGUGGAAGAAAAGCACUCAAAAUCCAUCAAAUUCCAAGCUUAGGACAAAGUCUGGAAGAAUAUUGAAAUCUUCAAAGUCAAUCUUGGAAAGAUGAUUCCAAUUCAAUUUUGGAAUUGUUUGCUGCAGAAAAAGGGAAAUUGGGGUACGCAGCCUAAGGGUCUUUUGUUUCAUAAUACCAAGGGGUACACAACCCAAUGGUCUUGUUGCAUGGUGCCCAGGGGAACGCAAUUCAAAGUGACGCAUUGCACGGUGGUGUCUAGGAAACUUAGUGCUUAAAUCCACGCAGCCAAUAUGAGGUUUCUUGGUUGCAGGUACUGCGGAUGUAGAUGAUGACCAGUUUACUUAGCAUAUGGGAUGUUAUGAUUGGAGCAUAUCGCGACAGUCAUAUGCCGGACUCAUGGGUAGUUCGUAUGUUGGGUAUUUGGUUAUAGCUCAUAUCCUAUGGGGCAUGUAUUUGCUGAGCCUGUAAUUUGGGUAUGUAAUUAUAGUAAUAUGUUUUAUAAGCUUUAACAAGUUAGAUACAUAA